GUAUUGUUGGUAUUUUUAGGGUUAGAUUUUGAAAUAUUAUCUUUUUAAUUUUUUUUUAGUUUGACAUAUAUGUGUUUAGUGACUAUCUAAUUACUUGAUUUAAACAUUUUUCUAAGUUUUUUUUUAAGUUUAGGGAAGUGUUUUUGCUUAGUUAUUUGAUUAUAGGGUCUGGAAGACUCCGAGAAGACUUUGGUUUAGGGUUUAGUAACAUAUGUUAUAGUAUUGUUUGCAUUUAGGGUUUGAUUUUAGAAUGUUAACUUUAAAAAAGAAAAAAAAUUGACCUACAUGUGUUUAGUUUAGUGUAUAUUAAACGCUUUACAAGUUAUAUUAAGUUUAAUGAAUUGUUUUUUUGAUAUUUAGUUAGUUAUUUGAUUAGGUUUAUGGUUUGAAAAACUUCCAGAAGACUUCUUCUGACAUAUUGCCGCCUAAAUUUUAGUAAAAUUUAGGUUUCCCGUUUAAAGCGAAGUCUUCCAAAAGUCUUCUCAUGUAUUUGAUUUUAGGGUCUAGAAGACUUCUCUCUUAGAAGACUUCCCAAGAAAUCUUAUGUAUCGAAAAUAUUUAACCUAUCUGGAAUUUUUGUCUUCAUAUAUAAAAAAAAAUUACACAUUCUCUUUCUUCCUUUCAAAUGGCUGCAACAAAAAUUUAAUGUUUCUCACUCUAAAAAUCUCCAACAUAUCUCUAAUCUCUUUGAACAUCAAAAGACCAAACUUUAAAUCUAUUUCUUAUGUUUUCUCACUAAUUUAUCUUAUUUUUGCAGAUUUUUCAUUACAUGUUUCUCAUCUUUCACUCCUUCAAAGGUAGAUCUAUAAAUUUUGGAUAUGUAUUAUUGUG
This 831-nucleotide long non-coding RNA is filed under the name Brassica napus (rape). RNAcentral describes it as "long non-coding RNA (BNAP_LNC018803)". The record is from RNAcentral. Lineage: Eukaryota; Viridiplantae; Streptophyta; Magnoliopsida; Brassicales; Brassicaceae.